This 502-nucleotide ribosomal RNA is filed under the name uncultured bacterium. RNAcentral's name for it is "partial 16S ribosomal RNA". It matches the Rfam family "Bacterial small subunit ribosomal RNA", at positions 28 to 507 of the family's 1533-position model. The record is from RNAcentral.
GACGAACGCUGGCGGCGUGCUUAACACAUGCAAGUCGAACGGUGAAGGGGUCUGCUUUUGUGGGCCCUGGAUGAGUGGCGAACGGGUGAGUAACACGUGAGUAACCUUCCCCCUUCUUCUGGAUAACCGCAUGAAAGUGUGGCUAAUACGGGAUAUUCUGGGUCUGUCGCAUGAUGGGUCUGGGAAAGAUUGCGCCUUUGGGUGUUUUUGGUGGGGGAUGGGCUCGCGGCCUAUCAGCUUGUUGGUGGGGUGAUGGCCUACCAAGGCGGUGACGGGUAGCCGGCCUGAGAGGGUGGACGGUCACACUGGGACUGAGACACGGCCCAGACUCAUACGGGAGGCAGCAGUGGGGAAUAUUGCACAAUGGGAGCAAGCCUGAUGCAGCGACGCCGCGUGAGGGAUGGAGGCCUUCGGGUUGUAAACCUCUUUCGCCAGUGAAGCAGGCCUGCUCCUUGUGGGUGGGUUGACGGUAGCUGGAUAAGAAGCGCCGGCUAACUACGUG